UACGGAGGGUCCAAGCGUUAUCCGGAAUCAUUGGGUUUAAAGGGUCCGUAGGCGGUUUUGUAAGUCAGUGGUGAAAGCCCAUCGCUCAACGGUGGAACGGCCAUUGAUACUGCAAGACUUGAAUUAUUGUGAAGUAACUAGAAUAUGUAGUGUAGCGGUGAAAUGCUUAGAGAUUACAUGGAAUACCAAUUGCGAAGGCAGGUUACUAACAAUAUAUUGACGCUGAUGGACGAAAGCGUGGGUAGCGAACAGG
Molecule: ribosomal RNA, 253 nt
Filed under: uncultured bacterium
Lineage: Bacteria
Description: partial 16S ribosomal RNA
Rfam family: Bacterial small subunit ribosomal RNA
Source: RNAcentral